Molecule: ribosomal RNA, 564 nt
Filed under: Debaryomyces hansenii
Lineage: Eukaryota; Fungi; Ascomycota; Pichiomycetes; Serinales; Debaryomycetaceae
Description: partial large subunit ribosomal RNA
Rfam family: Eukaryotic large subunit ribosomal RNA
Source: RNAcentral
AGAAACCAACAGGGAUUGCCUUAGUAACGGCGAGUGAAGCGGCAAAAGCUCAAAUUUGAAAUCUGGCACCUUCGGUGUCCGAGUUGUAAUUUGAAGAAGGUAACUUUGGAGUUGGCUCUUGUCUAUGUUCCUUGGAACAGGACGUCACAGAGGGUGAGAAUCCCGUGCGAUGAGAUGCCCAAUUCUAUGUAAAGUGCUUUCGAAGAGUCGAGUUGUUUGGGAAUGCAGCUCUAAGUGGGUGGUAAAUUCCAUCUAAAGCUAAAUAUUGGCGAGAGACCGAUAGCGAACAAGUACAGUGAUGGAAAGAUGAAAAGAACUUUGAAAAGAGAGUGAAAAAGUACGUGAAAUUGUUGAAAGGGAAGGGCUUGAGAUCAGACUUGGUAUUUUGCGAUCCUUUCCUUCUUGGUUGGGUUCCUCGCAGCUUACUGGGCCAGCAUCGGUUUGGAUGGUAGGAUAAUGACUAAGGAAUGUGGCUCUACUUCGGUGGAGUGUUAUAGCCUUGGUUGAUACUGCCUGUCUAGACCGAGGACUGCGUCUUUUGACUAGGAUGUUGGCAUAAUGAUC